RNAcentral lists this non-coding RNA (29 nucleotides) under Mus musculus (house mouse). The record is from RNAcentral. Lineage: Eukaryota; Metazoa; Chordata; Mammalia; Rodentia; Muridae.
UGCCACAAUAAUGUGCAUCCAGGACCAAC